Molecule: long non-coding RNA, 233 nt
Filed under: Panax ginseng (ginseng)
Lineage: Eukaryota; Viridiplantae; Streptophyta; Magnoliopsida; Apiales; Araliaceae
Description: long non-coding RNA (PGIN_LNC014932)
Source: RNAcentral
UGACAAUAAAUAUAAUGAGGACCCCAUUGAGUGUGAAUAUUGUCUAGAUGACAAUAUUUGUAUUAAAACUCACAGCAUUUAUUUUAUCGUAUUUUACACGACAGUUGUAUAAUUAAGAUUGUAUUUGUAUUUUGUACCAUGUAUUUGGCGAAUUAGAAUAGGUGAUGUAUACCUUUUUUUGGGGGCGUCACAAACACCAACUAAGACUCUUAUUUGUAAAAUUUAAAAUUUUG